This 286-nucleotide long non-coding RNA is filed under the name Prunus persica (peach). RNAcentral describes it as "long non-coding RNA (PPER_LNC002745)". The record is from RNAcentral. Lineage: Eukaryota; Viridiplantae; Streptophyta; Magnoliopsida; Rosales; Rosaceae.
GAGCGGGCCCGAAUAAAUUGGUUAGAAGAGGUUGAAUCCAAAUUAUGCAAGACGCACUGAAGAAAUAGAUGGCCCUGGUUUAAACGUGAGAUCUCAGAGCUAAAAGCAAUGCAUACAUCAAGCAACUUUACACUGAUGUCCAAGUACACGUCAAUCCAUUUCUCAUCCCAGUCACUCACAGGGAGGUCAAUCUCAGAUAUGAGGGUUUUUAUGUCAUUAUGAGUUCCACAAAGAGACUCCAUCGCCAAUUUCAUCCAUGACAAGCUGAGGACAUCAUCCUUGUCUU